RNAcentral lists this long non-coding RNA (240 nucleotides) under Hordeum vulgare. Its description in RNAcentral is "long non-coding RNA (HVUL_LNC018459)". The record is from RNAcentral. Lineage: Eukaryota; Viridiplantae; Streptophyta; Magnoliopsida; Poales; Poaceae.
AUGGCAAGCAGAGGCCCCCUUGGCGUACAUAUGCCUUAUUAUGACACAGUAUAUAUCACGACUCACUGCUGUACAGAUGACGAUGAUGUUAAUAAAUACAAAACUGGAGGUUGCAAUGUAUCUAUCCUGUGGUAAUUUGGGUUAAGCGUAGUAACUAGUUGUUUGUUGAUAGCAUAUCUUACAAGAUCACCAUUCAUUUAGGAUUCGGCAUCAGAUUAACAUAACAUGAAAAGAAGGACG